AUAGUAUUAAUGGGGCUGGAGGAGUGUUGGAGAAGCAGGAAUCGUACUGCAUGGAGUUGAGUGGCACUUAGGCUCUUGAUUAAUAAAGACAAGGCAGCCAGCCCUUCCACAAAAAAGAAAUAAUUUCAUUUGCAGUGGCUGCCUCUUUAAAGGGGUGAACGCCGAAAGCUGGGGUUUUGAACAGUGUUUCGUGGCUGAGCCUGCACAUGCCACGUUGUCCAACGUCCAUGGGGAGACGCUUGAAGAACCCUCUGACCCGUUGCCGACGCAAAAACCAGUUGUGUGUGUGUGUGUGGGACAGAGAGGGAUGGGGAGGGAAGGAUAAAGAGAGAAUGAAAAAGAAAACAAACGCAGACCCGCUCUUCUAAUGAGACAGCUCAGAUUUUUCCCAUCUGGACUUUCCCCUCAGUUUCCCGGAUGUCCUUGAGAAUAAUUUCACUUUUCCCACAUCAUAUGUAAAAUCAGACGUGUGGGUGUGCACCCCUGGGCACGCACCAGCCUUUCCGUCCAGCUCACUUGUAUAAAUGAUUGCACGAUGGGCUGAAUUUUAACGCUCUUGGACAGCCAGAUGAAUUAAAUGAGCCCUUUUCUGCUGAUUCCACUUGGCUUAGCUCAUUUUAUUUUGCUUGCUUUCUUGUUUGGGUGUCGGAUGUCCCAGCCCUCUCAUGUGCACAUACAUUUGGUUUCUGACUAAUAUGAGGUCUCCGUCAGAGAAACAGCCUUUGUCGUUUCAAAUCCAGCAGGUCUUAGACUCGGGUCGUGACUCAGCUACCACAAACUGUAUGCAGAGGAGACCACAAAUUCCUCCGGUCCAUGAUUUGAAAGGUUACCUGGUCUUCUCCUGCUCUUGUUCCACGGAUAACAAAAAUCCUGAGAGAUAAUGCCAGGUCAUCACAACCAUGCACUGGAGCACUGUGUACCUGCAGACCAACACUGGCAACUCUGAAAUGCAUAGCGAGCGCUGGUUAAUGUGUGUGGGACAGAUCUAUCCAGAUAUAUGAGAGAAAUCAUUGCAAUACAUCACUCUUGGCAUUUUACAAUCCCCAUUUGACCAUUUCCCCAAAAAGUUACUUAAAGUGUAUAUUGCUUUACAUUUUUAAAAUUUUGUUUAAAAUAGAAGAACUUUUACAGGCAAGCCUAAAAGAUUAUUUUAGGAGCGAAACUUAUUUGUGAGAUUUCUAGCCUAAGUAAAUAAGAAUCCCAUGGGAACAAAGAAUUUGGGAUACAUUCAAACAAACACUGUAAAGUUUUGAGAAAUGCCAAGUUGUGCGGAGAUCGGUGUGUGUACUACGUGUUUGUAUAGUCAACAUUGUCAUAGCAAUAUGGUAUGCCAGUUAUUAGUUCUGUUCAUUGCAGAUGGCUUCAUUAUGUGUAUUUAAUUUCAGUACUUAAGCAAACAUACAAUAACAAGGCUUAAGAGCUGCUUUAGGAUAUGACGGUUCUGUACGGUCAAAUGAAAUGGAAGGGAAAAGGAAACAACUGAUACUGCUCUGGUUGGAGGUAAAUCUGUAUUGAUGGGAUUAAGCCACUUAGAGGCAUCCCUCCACUUGAAUAGCCCCAAAACCACCAAUUGCUUUGUUUGCGGUAACGAGAAGGUACUGAUCACUAGAGCCUUAAUUUGCCACAGCAGUUAAGUGCUCCAAUUCCUCAGCGCAAUAAUUGCCACAUGUUGAGUGUGCAGAUGUCUAAACACGUGGGAGCACUUCCUUUUCCUAAAGACAAAUGAAGAUUUUCAUUUUGUUUUGUAAACGUGUCAGGAUUUAUCACUUAGUCAUGUGUCAUGCAUUAGGGUGUUUACACAAUACAGCUUUCCACACCCUGGUUCUGGACUUCUAUGAUUUCAACAACAUGGCUGUGGAGUAACGGGGCUUUGCCAAACCU
Molecule: long non-coding RNA, 1881 nt
Organism: Struthio camelus australis
Lineage: Eukaryota; Metazoa; Chordata; Aves; Struthioniformes; Struthionidae
Source: Ensembl